This 253-nucleotide ribosomal RNA is filed under the name uncultured bacterium. RNAcentral describes it as "partial 16S ribosomal RNA". It matches the Rfam family "Bacterial small subunit ribosomal RNA", at positions 524 to 776 of the family's 1533-position model. The record is from RNAcentral.
UACGAAGGGGGCUAGCGUUGCUCGGAAUUACUGGGCGUAAAGGGAGCGUAGGCGGACAGUUAAGUCAGAGGUGAAAGCCCAGGGCUCAACCUUGGAAUUGCCUUUGAUACUGGCUGUCUUGAGUAUGGGAGAGGUAAGCGGAACUCCGAGUGUAGAGGUGAAAUUCGUAGAUAUUCGGAAGAACACCAGUGGCGAAGGCGGCUUACUGGCCCAUUACUGACGCUGAGGCUCGAAAGCGUGGGGAGCAAACAGG